Molecule: long non-coding RNA, 630 nt
Filed under: Octopus vulgaris (common octopus)
Lineage: Eukaryota; Metazoa; Mollusca; Cephalopoda; Octopoda; Octopodidae
Source: RNAcentral
UAAAAAUCGUCCCUUCGCUAUAUCAAAAAGGAGUAAUGACUGUGCAAAUUUGAGAGGCUGGUUGAUUAUAGAUGAGGUUCCGCCAACUUGUUCGUUUGGUUACAAAGAUCAUUCUCCUUCAAUUCGUUAUUCUGAUAAAAAAAUGAAAGUCGUAUGGAACGACGGUGAGUGAUGUUUUCUCUUUUGUGUGUGUGUGUGUGUGUGUGAGUGUGCGUGUGUAUAUGUGUGUGUAUGUGCGUGUUUAUGUGUGUGAGCCUUCAUUCAAAUGAAUUAUUAUUUAAAGCGUUCCGACCAUGACCUUCUUGUAUGUUUCCCACUCAACGAUGUAAAGAUUCGGCUGCUAUUUCUAGUAAUUCGAGUGACCACGUAUGAAGACUUUCCACGAUUUAUUUCCAUUCCUUUGGUUAUUGAUGUUGUUAUUGUUACUUCCAGGUUAUACAUUAGCAGACUCCAUGGCCGUAUUCAUCCGCCUGAGGCAGUAGAAUUUAUCCAGCACAUGAUACUAUUGUUGUUGUUAACGUCCAUCCAAUCCUGCUGACCACCACUAGUGAUCCCAGUAGGUCAAGUAUUACCUGUUAAUAAAGAAUCCAUAUAAAUAUUCAAAGUUGUUAACCUCCAUCCAAUCCUGCU